UAGCAUUCUUGCAAUUGUCAAAAUACUAACAAAAAUAAAGUGCCAAAAUAAAGUUAUGGUGAACUAGAGCCACCCAAAAGUACAUUACAAAUUCCCAAAAACAAAAACAGAAUUAGUAAAAAGAAACUCAAAAAUACAACAACUCUCAAAUCUCCACAUUCUCAAUCCUCCUCCUCUUCGUCACCACCUACGUUUCCAAGAACAUCCUCC
Molecule: long non-coding RNA, 210 nt
Filed under: Lathyrus oleraceus (garden pea)
Lineage: Eukaryota; Viridiplantae; Streptophyta; Magnoliopsida; Fabales; Fabaceae
Description: Pisum sativum (pea) long non-coding RNA (PSAT_LNC031200)
Source: RNAcentral